RNAcentral lists this long non-coding RNA (1133 nucleotides) under Drosophila guanche. The record is from RNAcentral. Lineage: Eukaryota; Metazoa; Arthropoda; Insecta; Diptera; Drosophilidae.
CGCUGUCGCUGCUCCGCCGUCGUGCCGUGGGGUUUUCUCUCACCAUUUGGCAGUGGGUCGAGAAUCGUUUUGCCUGACUCGACCAAGUUCAAGUGCGGCAACAGGCUAGAAUGUAUAGAGUGGUGUUUUUAUUGUGGUUGCUUUUGUUGCUUUUUCUGCUGCUGGAGCGGGGUUAAACCAUUAGCGCGUGCGCGCGUCAGUCCAACCAUUUGAAAUAAACCAAAACAUUUGGAAUUGUCUCAAGCGUCACCAGAAAAGCCAAAAGCAAAUUGGAAUACCACAAGAAGCGAAAGCUAAAAUGGGUUAUGAAUGAACCAACAACAGAUCCUGAGGGGGGACUUACCAAAGCAAAGUGAAACAGAAGCAAAGCAGCAUCAAAAUAUUUUGAUUUUUCAGAGAGGUACAGUUCUCUAACACUACAAAGUGCCGCUUAAAGUUGAUGAUACCCCAAAAACGGGUUUAGUUCUUUGAUUGAACAUUAAUUCACCUUUUUAAUACAGAAUAUUUUUAAACAAAUAAAAUAAGAAAUUUAGGAAAAACCUUUGCUAAAUGCCAAUAGUUCUCAAUGAAAAAGUUAUCAAUGACUCAACAAUUACCAGCUCACAAUUGGAGCGGAUACAAAUGCGGAUCAAGUGCUAGACCACAUGCCGGAGCGGAUACAAUCACAAAUCAUUUAGGAACACAAAAGAAAGAAACAAAAGAACAAAAGUUAUCAAUGAAAACUGUGUUUAAAUCCUGGAAAAAUAUGCCUCAAAAAUGUUCUUAGAUGCUGCAAAUACCUCAGGAAAGACUUAAAAUAAAAUGCCUCAAAAGUGACACUGAAAAAUGUCACCAUAUCCUGAAUGAAUCAACGCCGAGUUCCAGAAAACUUUAAGAACACAUCUGUGGCGGAUACAAAAGCGGAUCAUUUGGGGACGGUCCAAAGUGAAAGUCAAUAGAAAAAAAAGCAAAACUUGUGGUAAACAGGAAGUGGGCCUCAAUGUGUGUUCUGUUUGUGUGUGCUUGGGCGGCUGAGUAGGCGGCUGGCACUCGCACGCCAUUAUAAUUAAUAUAUUUAAGAGCAUAUUUAGCAGCUAAUUUGCAUGCGUAAGUGUGUAAGUGUAGCGACAUUAAACUAAGCCAUUGGAUGCCAU